UGGGGAAUCUUGCACAAUGGGGGCAACCCUGAUGCAGCGACGCCGCGUGAGCGAUGAAGCCCUUCGGGGCGUAAAGCUCUUUCGACCGGAACGAUAAUGACGGUACCGGGAGAAGAAGCUGCGGCUAACUACGUGCCAGCAGCCGCGGUAAUACGUAGGCAGCAAGCGUUGUUCGGAGUUACUGGGCGUAAAGAGUGCGUAGGCGGUUUUCUAAGUUCGGUGUGAAAUCUCCCGGCUUAGCUGGGAGGGUGCGCCGAAGACUGGGAAGCUGGAGUGGGGGAAAGGCAGGCGGAAUUCCUGGUGUAGCGGUGAAAUGCGUAGAUAUCAGGAGGAACACCGGCGGUGUAGACGGCUUGCUAGACCAUAACUGACGCUGAGGCACGAAAGCGUGGGUAGCAAACA
This 402-nucleotide ribosomal RNA is filed under the name uncultured bacterium. RNAcentral describes it as "bacterial SSU rRNA". It matches the Rfam family "Bacterial small subunit ribosomal RNA", at positions 355 to 774 of the family's 1533-position model. The record is from RNAcentral.